RNAcentral lists this ribosomal RNA (516 nucleotides) under Hygrophorus cf. subalpinus TRTC156469. RNAcentral's name for it is "eukaryotic LSU rRNA". The stretch from base 168 to 321 matches the Rfam family "5.8S ribosomal RNA". Lineage: Eukaryota; Fungi; Basidiomycota; Agaricomycetes; Agaricales; Hygrophoraceae. The record is from RNAcentral.
CAUUAUUGAAUUUUGAAAGGGGUUGUAGCUGAUCUUUUAGAUAUGUGCACACCUCUAUCYAAAUUUCCUUACACCAUGUGCACCUUUUGUAGGGCCAACAUUUUGUUGGUCCCUAUGUUUGUAACACAUACAACACAUCAUAAAUGAAUGUUAUUAUUGAAAUAUACAACUUUCAACAACGGAUCUCUUGGCUCUCGCAUCGAUGAAGAACGCAGCGAAAUGCGAUAAGUAAUGUGAAUUGCAGAAUUCAGUGAAUCAUCGAAUCUUUGAACGCACCUUGCGCUCCUUGGUAUUCCGAGGAGCAUGCCUGUUUGAGUGUCAUUAAAUUUCUCAAGCUUCUUUGUAUUUUGAAGCAUUGGAUUUUUGGAGUGUUGCUGAUGUCAGAGUUAGCUCCUCUUAAAUGUAUUAGCUUAUAUAUAUUUUGUGAAUAGGCUUUGGUUUGAUAAUAUCUAUGCUAUUGCCAAUGAAACAAAUAUGAGCUUCUAACAACAAAAAACACUUUUUGAUAUUUGACCU